This 401-nucleotide ribosomal RNA is filed under the name uncultured Limnohabitans sp. RNAcentral describes it as "bacterial SSU rRNA". It matches the Rfam family "Bacterial small subunit ribosomal RNA", at positions 1 to 412 of the family's 1533-position model. Lineage: Bacteria; Pseudomonadati; Pseudomonadota; Betaproteobacteria; Burkholderiales; Comamonadaceae. The record is from RNAcentral.
AGCUGAGUUUGAUCCUGGCUCAGAUUGAACGCUGGCGGAAUGCUUUACACAUGCAAGUCGAACGGUAGAGGGGCAACCCCUUGAGAGUGGCGAACGGGUGAGUAAUAUAUCGGAACGUGCCCAGUCGUGGGGAUAACGUAGUGAAAAUUACGCUAAUACCGCAUACGAUCUAAGGAUGAAAGCGGGGAUCGCAAGACCUCGCGCGACUGGAGCGGCCGAUAUCAGAUUAGGUAGUUGGUGGGGUAAAGGCCACAACGGCGACGAUCAGUAGCUGGUCGUGAGAGGACGACCAGCCACACUGGGACGUGAGACACGGCCCACGACUCCUACGGGAGGCAGCAGUGGGGAAUUUGGUACGAAUGGCGCAAGCCUGAUCCAGCAAUGCCCGCGUGCAGGAAGAA